GAUGAACGCUGGCGGCGUGCUUAACACAUGCCAGUCGAACGGAAAGGCCCAAGCUUGCUUGGGUACUCGAGUGGCGAACGGGUGAGUAACACGUGGGUGAUCUGCCCUGCACUUCGGGAUAAGCCUGGGAAACUGGGUCUAAUACCGGAUAGGACCACUUCUUGGCUGUUGUGGUGGAAAGUUUUUUCGGUGUGGGAUGAGCUCGCGGCCUAUCAGCUUGUUGGUGGGGUAAUGGCCUACCAAGGCGUCGACGGGUAGCCGGCCUGAGAGGGUGUACGGCCACAUUGGGACUGAGAUACGGCCCAGACUCCUACGGGAGGCAGAAGUGGGGAAUAUUGCAGAAUGGGCGCAAGCCUGAUGCAGCGACGCCGCGGGGGGGAUGACGGUCUUCGGGUUGUAAACUCCUUUCGCUAGGGACGAAGCGUUUUGUGACGGUACCUGGAGAAGAAGCACCGGCUAACUACGUG
RNAcentral lists this ribosomal RNA (467 nucleotides) under uncultured bacterium. RNAcentral's name for it is "partial 16S ribosomal RNA". It matches the Rfam family "Bacterial small subunit ribosomal RNA", at positions 28 to 507 of the family's 1533-position model. The record is from RNAcentral.